This 261-nucleotide ribosomal RNA is filed under the name uncultured prokaryote. Its description in RNAcentral is "partial 16S ribosomal RNA". It matches the Rfam family "Bacterial small subunit ribosomal RNA", at positions 524 to 784 of the family's 1533-position model. The record is from RNAcentral.
UACGUAGGGUGCGAGCGUUGUCCGGAAUUAUUGGGCGUAAAGAGCUUGUAGGCGGUUUGUCGCGUCUGCUGUGAAAAUCCGGGGAUCAACCCCGGACUUGCAGUGGGUACGGGCAGACUAGAGUGUGGUAGGGGAGACUGGAAUUCCUGGUGUAGCGGUGAAAUGCGCAGAUAUCAGGAGGAACACCGAUGGCGAAGGCAGGUCUCUGGGCCACUACUGACGCUGAGAAGCGAAAGCAUGGGGAGCGAACAGGAUUAGAUA